AACGUAGGACACGAGCGUUAUCCGGAGUUACUGGGCGUAAAGGGCGAGUAGGUGGUGCGAUAAGACUGGUGUGAAAGCCUUCGCCUUAACCGAGGGAGGACACUGGUGACUGUCGGACUUGAGGCAGAUAGAGGGGUGUAGAAUUCCGGGUGUAGUGGUGAAAUGCGUAGAGAUCCGGAGGAAUACCAGAGGCGAAGGCGGCACCCUGGGUCUGACCUGACACUGAUCCGCGACAGCAUGGGGAGCGAACGGG
This 253-nucleotide ribosomal RNA is filed under the name uncultured bacterium. RNAcentral describes it as "partial 16S ribosomal RNA". It matches the Rfam family "Bacterial small subunit ribosomal RNA", at positions 524 to 776 of the family's 1533-position model. The record is from RNAcentral.